UACAGAGGGUGCGAGCGUUGUCCGGAAUCACUGGGCGUAAAGGGCGCGUAGGUGGUGGCUUAAGCGUGCGGUGAAAGCUCGGGGCUCAACUCCGAGUCGGCCGUGCGAACUGGGCUCACUGGAGCAUAGUAGAGGCAGGUGGAAUUCCUGGUGUAGCGGUGAAAUGCGCAGAUAUCGGGAAGAACACCCGUGGCUAAGGCGGCUCUCUAGUACGGUACUGACGCUGAGACGCGAAAGCGUGGGGAGCGAACAGG
RNAcentral lists this ribosomal RNA (254 nucleotides) under uncultured bacterium. Its description in RNAcentral is "partial 16S ribosomal RNA". It matches the Rfam family "Bacterial small subunit ribosomal RNA", at positions 524 to 776 of the family's 1533-position model. The record is from RNAcentral.